GGACUAAUAGGCAAUUGAGAAUCUGAAAUAUUCAAAACCUUCUGCCCAUAAAAGAGCAGUGUGGAUUGCCUUGCUUCUUAAGUUUUGAGGCCCUAAAAGUUCCCCCAAUAAUAUUCUCUCUAUUCCAGAUCUGAAAUUUGAAACCCAAAACUCAGAAACCAAAAAAAAAAACAGCAGAAAAACUCAAACAAAAAUGUAUUGUUCUAUUGAAUAGUUUUAAAUUUUUAGCUAUCGGAUCAAAUUUUCACCUUCCACAUUUGUUUGCUGAAAUUCCAAAAGUUGCCAGGUGAUUUCGAAUGGUUGUAGUCCUGAUCAAACUGGUUUUAGUGGAGUUUCUGGACUGUUGAAAGUUUAAGUGAUAUUGGAUUCAUUGUGUGCAUUUUGUUAAUGUGUUUGGCUUGCAACACUAGUCUCUUUUCGUUUAAAAAAUAGUUCUGGACUCCUGAGUUAUUUCUAGGUUGAAAUCGAUUAUGUUUGACUGCUGUUUGCAACUUUGAUUACUGUUGUUGUGCUGCUGUGCUAACUUCUUCUUCCCUGUUGUUAUUCACCUUCCCAGGUACACAUUUCGAGUCGAUUUUGAUGUAUCUUCCCCCUGUUGACAACCUGAAUCAAAGCUGAAAUCAAUUCUCUGCCUUGGAUCUCUCAUUUCAUUAUGUUUAAAUAAUUUUGUUAUGAUUUUGUGGUUGAACAUUGUAAUCACAUUUCGAGUGACUGGAUUGAAAUAGGUUCUGUAAUUAUUGGACUAUAAACUAUUAUGUCUUAGCUUCAUAUAAGUUUAACUUUUAAAGUGUAGCACUAGUUGUAGUUGGUUUUCCAUUAGUUUAUUCAGAUAUUGAUUACUUCUGAAUGCAAAUAAUUUCCUAUUAGGUAAUGGAGUGAUUCACAAUAAUUAUAGUUAAUCUCCAAUUGAUUGCUUUCACGAAUCUAUUUAAGUAGUUGUUUUCGUUAUUAAUCAGUAGUGAAAUAAGCCUGAAGUGUUUGAAGCUAAGACAAAUUAUUAUUGAAUAAAAUUGAGUACUGUUCUUGCAAAUUUGGUUUGUUCAAUUUUGAUUAACAAUGCGUUAGAUAGGAGUCUGCUUAAUAUAAAUGAACUGAAGAUGUGAUAGGGUGAAAAAAUAGUUUGAAAUAGUUGUUGUUGUAUUUUCCGAAUUUCAAAACACAUU
RNAcentral lists this long non-coding RNA (1163 nucleotides) under Nicotiana benthamiana. RNAcentral describes it as "long non-coding RNA (NBEN_LNC019309)". Lineage: Eukaryota; Viridiplantae; Streptophyta; Magnoliopsida; Solanales; Solanaceae. The record is from RNAcentral.